Molecule: long non-coding RNA, 1389 nt
Filed under: Homo sapiens (human)
Lineage: Eukaryota; Metazoa; Chordata; Mammalia; Primates; Hominidae
Description: HSALNT0212991
Source: RNAcentral
CCUGCUAUGUUGCCCUGUUUACCUUCAUCUUUUUAUAAAUAUGAACACCCAGGGGAAAGCCAGCAAGACACUGGGAAAAACAGACUACAGGAACAAGUAAAAAGUGAUAUCCUAGACACCAAGUAAGAGUCCCAAGAAGACAGGAAAUGUACAUGGUGCUAAAAGACAAACUAAGGAAUAGCCUCUGUGAAUCCUGAAAAUUUUAGACAGGUCUCAGUUAAUUUAGAAAGUUUAUUUUGCCAAGGUUGAGGACAUGUGCCCAUGACACAGCCUCAGGAAGUCCUCACAUGUGCCCAAGGUGGUCGGGGCACAGCUUAGUUUUAUACAUUUUAGGGAGACAUGAGACAUCAAUCAACAUAUGUAAGAAGUACAUUGGUUCAGUCUGGAAAAGUGGGACAACUUGAAGCAAAGGCAGAAAGACUCCAAGCUGGGAGGGGGCUUCCAGGUCACAGAUAGGUGAGAGAUGAAGGUUGCAUUCUUUUGAGUUUCUGAUUAGCCUUUUGAAGGGAGGCAAUCAGAUAUGCAUCCAUGUCAGUGAGCAGCGGGGUAACUCUGAAUAGAAUGGGAGGCAGGUUGGCCAUAAGCAGUUCCCACCUAGACUUUUCCCUUUAGCUUAGUGAUUUGGGGUCCCCAAGAUUUUCUUUUUAUACCUCUUACAUGCCCAGUUUCUCACACAGGCUGUCACCAGCCAUCAGAGGAAUGGUGAAGUACAAACUGGAAUAGGUUGAGUGAAACUCAAGAAAUUUGGAGGGCAUAUAUAAAAUACUAUUUCUGUAAUCUUGAUAGUAUAAUGGAAAGGAGAUAGGAUCUAAGAUAAAUUUUUUGUGUUGUUCCUCCAUGUUCCAGACCCGAGGGAGAAAGCAGAUAAAGGAAAUACCUGAGCAACAUUCAAGAAACUGUAGAAUGUAGUUAGAAAACAGUGCCAUGGGGGAGAGGGUCUUCUAGAUUGGGAUGCAUAGAGUACGUCUGCUUACAAAAACAGGGGUAAGGUGUAUUCUGUCAUAAACUGAAGAGAAGGUGCCUAAUAAUUGUUUUUUUAAAUUAAAAAAAAGAAAAAGAAAAAAGAAAAGAAAGGAUUAUUUGCCGGGUGCGGUGGCUCACGCCUGUAAUCCCAGCACUUUGGGAGGCCGAGGAGAGUGGAUCAUCUGAGGUCAGGAGUUUGAGACCUGCCUGGCCAACAUGGUGAAACCCCAUUUCUACUAAUAAUGCAAAAAUUAGGCCGGACGCGGUGGCUCACACCUGUAAUCCCAGCACUUUGGGAGGCUGAGGCGGGCAGAUCACAGUCAGGAGUUCGAGACCAGCCUAACUAACAUGGUGAAACCCUGCCUCUACUAAAAAUACACAAAUUAGCCAGGCAUGCUGGCGUGUGCCUGUAAUCCCAGCUACUCA